Molecule: ribosomal RNA, 410 nt
Filed under: Nocardiopsis sp. Loyola AST05
Lineage: Bacteria; Bacillati; Actinomycetota; Actinomycetes; Streptosporangiales; Nocardiopsidaceae
Description: bacterial SSU rRNA
Rfam family: Bacterial small subunit ribosomal RNA
Source: RNAcentral
GGUGGAAACGCCGUCUAAUACCGGAUACGACCCGCCACCUCAUGGUGGAGGGUGGAAAGUUUUUCGGUCAGGGAUGGGCUCGCGGCCUAUCAGCUUGUUGGUGGGGUAACGGCCUACCAAGGCGAUUACGGGUAGCCGGCCUGAGAGGGCGACCGGCCACACUGGGACUGAGACACGGCCCAGACUCCUGCGGGAGGCAGCAGUGGGGAAUAUUGCGCAAUGGGCGAAAGCCUGACGCAGCGACGCCGCGUGGGGGAUGACGGCCUUCGGGUUGUAAACCUCUUUUACCACCAACGCAGGCUCGAAGUUCUCUUCGGGUUGACGGUAGGUGGGGAAUAAGGACCGGCUAACUACGUGCCAGCAGCCGCGGUAAUACGUAGGGUCCGAGCGUUGUCCGGAAUUAUUGGGGC